Molecule: non-coding RNA, 106 nt
Organism: Capsicum annuum
Lineage: Eukaryota; Viridiplantae; Streptophyta; Magnoliopsida; Solanales; Solanaceae
Source: Rfam
ACCUCGUGGUUUGGACAUUGUGAUAGUUUUCCAUUGAAUCUUUCCCAUACUUUAUACAAGGGUUCUCCAUUCAAUUGCCUAAAGUUGAUUAUCUAAUCUCUCAGUU